UUAUUGGAGAGUUUGAUCGUAGCUCAGUACAAACGCUAGAAAUUCACAUAACACAUGCAAGUCAACUUGUAGUUUAGCAAAGUUUAAGUAAGUGGCGAAUUGGUGAGGUAGAUGAGAGUCACUGUUAGGUGUAUUUAGGAAAACUGAUCAAAGAUUAGGGAAUAACAUCAGGAAACUGAAGCUAAGACUCCAUAAGUGAAUUUAAUCGUCAACCGUAUUUUUGACCGAUGCAUAAACUAAGUUCGAAUUAACUUUUAAAAUAAGUAACAAAUGUUAACAAGUAAUGAUUUAAAAUUGAUUUGAGAGGAUGCUAAUCACAUUGGUAUUGAGAUACAGUCCAGACUUUUGCGGAAGGCAGCAGUGAGGAAUUUUCCGCAAUGGACUUAAAGUUUGACGGAGUGAAAUUUUAUGUUAGAGGAAAGCUCAUGGGUUGUAAAUAUCUUUUUUAGGUGGAGAUAUUGUUUAAAUUUGACGGUAUCCUAAGAAUCAGUAUCGGCUAACUCUGUGCCAGCAGCCGCGGUAAUACAGAGGAUGUGAGCGUUGUUCGGAUUGAUUGGGCGUAAAGCGUUUGUAGGUGACUUUCAAAAUUUUUUGUCAAAAAUUAAAACUUAACUUGGAUUCUGUAUUAAAAACUCGGAGGCUUGAAAGAAAUUUAAGUGGUAAGAAUUUUUAACAGAAAGGUGAAAUUUGUAGAGUAGAGGUGGAAUACCGGCAGCGAACGUGUGCAACUAGUGAAAUUGACACUUAGGAACGACAGUUUAGGAAGCGAAAGGGAUUAGAUACCCCUGUAGUCUGAACCAUAAAUGAUGGUGAUUAAAUUUUUAUAUUUUCCGCUAUUUUGUUUUAUAGAGUUGAAGCUAACGCGUUAAGUCGCCCGCCUGGGAAGUACGUUCGCAAGAAUGAAACUUAAACGAAUUGACGGGGGCCUGCACAAGCGGUGGAGCGUGUGGUUUAAUUCGAUGCAACGCGAAGAACCUUACCAAAUCUAUUUUCAGGUGGUGCAUGGUUAUCGUCAGCUCGUGUCGUGAGAUGUUAGAUUAAGUUCUGCAACGAGCGCAACCCUUGUUUUUUGUUGUUUUAUUUAUUAUGAGAUCAAAAAAGACAGUUAGUGAAAAUCUUAAGGAAGGUGGGGAUGACGUUAAAUCAGCAUGCCCCUUAUGUUUUGGGCUAUACACGCGCUACAAUGGAAAAAUACAAUCUUGGCAAAAUUAAUCUUAGUUCGGAUGCUUCUCUGAAACUUGUGAAGCUGAAGUUGGAAUCGCUAGUAAUCGCUAGUCAGAUUUAUGGCGGUGAAUCUGUUCUCAGGCCUUGUACACACCGCCCGUCACACCAUGAGAGUUGAUUUUUCUUGAAGAGUAACAAUGAAACAAGUCGCAAAAUAAUUCAUCUAGCUUUAGGGAAGUUCCGGCUAUUAGGGUGAAGUCGUAACAAGGUAGAUGUACUGGAAGGUGCGUCUAGAUCUUAGAGUAA
This 1470-nucleotide ribosomal RNA is filed under the name Lepidodinium chlorophorum. RNAcentral's name for it is "bacterial SSU rRNA". It matches the Rfam family "Bacterial small subunit ribosomal RNA". The record is from RNAcentral. Lineage: Eukaryota; Dinophyceae; Gymnodiniales; Gymnodiniaceae.